AUUCAGAGAAGCAGCACUGUUCCACUUUCUGAAUUGCAGCACCUCUGUUUUAUCUAGAGAAGAAAAUACUUUAGGAAAAGAAAACAGCUCCCGACGCUAGCCACAUCCCUCGAGCCCCUUGCGGAUUGGACAUAUGUGCCACUGCACCCGCUGUCCUCUGAGUGGCUCCAUUAUUCUGUCAGCUUUGAUUAUCUGUCUGCCAACCUGCUCACAUUUUAUAAUGUAGAGAAUUAGUUACAAUUUCUUGUGAUGGCUUCUCCAGUGAUUUGCUUUAUUGGUGCCUGUGGAUGCCGAGGGGGCUUUCAGUCACAGCUCUUGAUACUGUCACAUUCCAGACUACUGAGGACUGGAACUACUCUCCUGGCAGAUGAUGCCCACAGAAUCAAGGCGGUGGGGUGGCUUCACCUGCCUCUGGUAAAGCUGUGGAAGGUAGAGAGCACAUCGCUACAAAUCCAGGAUCUGCAGUGAAAGGACUGGAGGAGGAGGAACACUCCACAGGCUUGAUAUUUGGAAACUAACUUUUUUUUUUCUCCGUGGCAAGUCUAUACUGAAACUUUAGAGACAUCAUUAACUGAGUCAGCUACCAUGAAAGUCUGGCAUCCUGUUUUCCUUUCGUAGUGUGCCCGCCUGACCUUCCCCCAGGAGAUGCCUACCAAGAGUUGCACAGAUGGCAGUCCCCAACACUGAAGAGCUAAGUCAGAUAUGAGUUUCCCUGUGGGCGAUCCAGAAUCCUAAUAGCAGAACGAGAGCUGAACCUGAAAAGCGAGAAGCCUUUUGGUCUCAUUGGAACUCAACACCAUUAGUAUCUAGAUGCACACGUGGAUACGUGAUACAUGGCGUAGUUAUCACUGGUAUCACUCAUCUUGCAAAAGGGAUUUUGUGUCAUUUUGGCUGACUUCUAUUGCCAUUUGUAUUGUAAUUCUGCAUUUAAUAAAGAAACAUUGUAGACGUGA
Molecule: long non-coding RNA, 953 nt
Organism: Mus musculus (house mouse)
Lineage: Eukaryota; Metazoa; Chordata; Mammalia; Rodentia; Muridae
Product: predicted gene, 34912
Exons: 4
Source: RefSeq, a predicted model, not a curated record